Molecule: ribosomal RNA, 253 nt
Filed under: uncultured bacterium
Lineage: Bacteria
Description: partial 16S ribosomal RNA
Rfam family: Bacterial small subunit ribosomal RNA
Source: RNAcentral
AACGUAGGUGGCGAGCGUUAUUCGGAUUUACUGGGCGUAAAGGGUGUGUAGGCGGUCUGUUAAGUUGUGUAUGAAAGGUCUCGGCUCAACCGGGAUAAGUUAUGCCAGACUGGCAGUCUAGAGAGCGAGAGAGGGACGUGGAAUUCCGGGUGUAGUGGUGAAAUGUGUUGAUAUUGGAAGGAACGCCGGUGGCGAAAGCGGCACACUGGGUCUUAACUGACGCUGAGGCACGAAAGCCAGGGGAGCGAACGGA